This 253-nucleotide ribosomal RNA is filed under the name uncultured bacterium. Its description in RNAcentral is "partial 16S ribosomal RNA". It matches the Rfam family "Bacterial small subunit ribosomal RNA", at positions 524 to 776 of the family's 1533-position model. The record is from RNAcentral.
UACGGAGGGUGCGAGCGUUAAUCGGAAUCACUGGGCGUAAAGCGCGCGUAGGCGGCUUUUCAAGUCAGGGGUGAAAUCCCACGGCCCAACCGUGGAACUGCCUUUGAAACUGUAGAGCUUGAGUGUCGGAGAGGGUGGUGGAAUUCCAGGUGUAGGAGUGAAAUCCGUAGAUAUCUGGAGGAACACCGGUGGCGAAGGCGGCCACCUGGACGACAACUGACGCUGAGGUGCGAAAGCGUGGGUAGCAAACAGG